AGCAGUAGCCGCGGGAAUACGUAGGGUGCGAGCGUUAAUCGGAAUUACUGGGCGUAAAGCGUGCGCAGGCGGUUCGUUAAGACAGAUGUGAAAUCCCCGGGCUUAACCUGGGAACUGCAUUUGUGACUGACGGGCUAGAGUAUGGCAGAGGGGGGUAGAAUUCCACGUGUAGCAGUGAAAUGCGUAGAGAUGUGGAGGAAUACCGAUGGCGAAGGCAGCCCCCUGGGCCAAUACUGACGCUCAUGCACGAAAGCGUGGGGAGCAAACAGGAUUAGAUACCCCCGUAGUCCCUGUCUCUUAUAC
Molecule: ribosomal RNA, 303 nt
Filed under: uncultured bacterium
Lineage: Bacteria
Description: partial 16S ribosomal RNA
Rfam family: Bacterial small subunit ribosomal RNA
Source: RNAcentral